This 69-nucleotide transfer RNA is filed under the name Bos taurus (domestic cattle). It matches the Rfam family "tRNA". Rfam says of the family: Transfer RNA (tRNA) molecules are approximately 80 nucleotides in length. Their secondary structure includes four short double-helical elements and three loops (D, anti-codon, and T loops). Further hydrogen bonds mediate the characteristic L-shaped molecular structure. tRNAs have two regions of fundamental functional importance: the anti-codon, which is responsible for specific mRNA codon recognition, and the 3' end, to which the tRNAs corresponding amino acid is attached (by aminoacyl-tRNA synthetases). tRNAs cope with the degeneracy of the genetic code in two manners: having more than one tRNA (with a specific anti-codon) for a particular amino acid; and 'wobble' base-pairing, i.e. permitting non-standard base-pairing at the 3rd anti-codon position. Lineage: Eukaryota; Metazoa; Chordata; Mammalia; Artiodactyla; Bovidae. The record is from Rfam by way of RNAcentral. RNAcentral also lists the same sequence under 6 other names.
CCUGGUGGCUCAGACAGUAAAGAAUCUGCCUGCAAUGCAGAAGAUCCAGGUUUGAUUCCUGGGUCAGGA